This 478-nucleotide ribosomal RNA is filed under the name uncultured bacterium. RNAcentral describes it as "partial 16S ribosomal RNA". It matches the Rfam family "Bacterial small subunit ribosomal RNA", at positions 28 to 507 of the family's 1533-position model. The record is from RNAcentral.
GACGAACGCUGGCGGCGUGCUUAACACAUGCAAGUCGAACGGGAUUUAGUAAACAGAAACCUCGGUGGAAGAUUACUAAUGAGAGUGGCGAACGGGUGAGUAACGCGUGAGCAACCUGCCUAUGACAGUGGGAUAGCCUCGGGAAACCGGGAUUAAUACCGCAUAAAAUCGUAGAAACACAUGUUUUAACGGUCAAAGAUUUAUCGGUCAUAGAUGGGCUCGCGUCUGAUUAGCUAGUUGGUGAGAUAACAGCCCACCAAGGCGACGAUCAGUAGCCGGUCUGUGAGGAUGAACGGCCACAUUGGAACUGAGACACGGUCCAAACUCCUACGGGAGGCAGCAGUGGGGAAUAUUGCACAAUGGGGGAAACCCUGAUGCAGCGACGCCGCGUGAACGAAGAAGGUAUUCGUAUCGUAAAGUUCUGUCCUAUGGGAAGAUAAUGACAGUACCAUAGAAGAAAGCUCCGGCUAAAUACGUG